UACGUAGGGGGCAAGCGUUGUCCGGAAUUAUUGGGCGUAAAGCGCGUGUAGGCGGCUCGGUAAGUCUGCUGUGAAAGUCCAAGGCUCAACCUUGGAAAGCCGGUGGAUACUGUCGAGCUCGAGUCCGGAAGAGGCGAGUGGAAUUCCUGGUGUAGCGGUGAAAUGCGCAGAUAUCAGGAGGAACACCAAUUGCGAAGGCAGCUCGCUGGGACGUUACUGACGCUGAGACGCGAAAGCGUGGGGAGCAAACAGG
RNAcentral lists this ribosomal RNA (253 nucleotides) under uncultured bacterium. RNAcentral's name for it is "partial 16S ribosomal RNA". It matches the Rfam family "Bacterial small subunit ribosomal RNA", at positions 524 to 776 of the family's 1533-position model. The record is from RNAcentral.